UACGUAGGGUGCAAGCGUUAAUCGGAAUUACUGGGCGUAAAGCGUGCGCAGGCGGUUGUGUAAGACAGGUGUGAAAUCCCCGGGCUUAACCUGGGAAUUGCAUUUGUGACUGCACGACUAGAGUGUGUCAGAGGGGGGUGGAAUUCCACGUGUAGCAGUGAAAUGCGUAGAUAUGUGGAGGAACACCAAUGGCGAAGGCAGCCCCCUGGGAUAACACUGACGCUCAUGCACGAAAGCGUGGGGAGCAAACAGGAUUAGAUACCCGCGUAGUCC
RNAcentral lists this ribosomal RNA (273 nucleotides) under uncultured bacterium. RNAcentral describes it as "partial 16S ribosomal RNA". It matches the Rfam family "Bacterial small subunit ribosomal RNA", at positions 524 to 796 of the family's 1533-position model. The record is from RNAcentral.